GGCGGCGUAGCUCAGGUGGUUAGAGCACACGGCUCAUAAUCGUGGGGUCGUCGGUUCGAGUCCGACCGCCGCUACCA
Molecule: transfer RNA, 77 nt
Filed under: Acidithrix ferrooxidans
Lineage: Bacteria; Bacillati; Actinomycetota; Acidimicrobiia; Acidimicrobiales; Acidimicrobiaceae
Description: tRNA-Met
Rfam family: tRNA
About the family: Transfer RNA (tRNA) molecules are approximately 80 nucleotides in length. Their secondary structure includes four short double-helical elements and three loops (D, anti-codon, and T loops). Further hydrogen bonds mediate the characteristic L-shaped molecular structure. tRNAs have two regions of fundamental functional importance: the anti-codon, which is responsible for specific mRNA codon recognition, and the 3' end, to which the tRNAs corresponding amino acid is attached (by aminoacyl-tRNA synthetases). tRNAs cope with the degeneracy of the genetic code in two manners: having more than one tRNA (with a specific anti-codon) for a particular amino acid; and 'wobble' base-pairing, i.e. permitting non-standard base-pairing at the 3rd anti-codon position.
Source: RNAcentral